AUGUAUGAGGAUGUUGUACAGUGGCGGUUCACGGGCUUUUAUGGUCAUCCGAACUGGAACGAACGUCAUUUAUCUUGGGAUGAUAUUCGUAAUUUACAUAGUAAGGGCGACCACCCUUGGGUGGUUUUGGGGGAUUUUAAUGAAAUUUUAUAUCCCUCGGAAAAAGAGGGCGGUAAUGCAAGACCAAAUGGAAUGAUGAGGGAUUUUCGUGAAUGCCUUAUGGACUGUGGGCUGGAAGACUUAGGUUACAGGGGCGACCCUUUUACUUGGAGUAGAGGUGAAAUUCGAGAGCGUCUCGAUCGGGCAGUUUGUAAUGUGGGGUGGGCACAUAAAUUUCCUCGUGCAGCGGUGAUUAAUGAAGAACAUGUCCAUUCUGAUCAUCGGCCGCUGGUCUUGGACAUGGAUUAUUUGGAUGACAAUAUUUUCAGACAACCAGAGGGGCGCGUGAAGCAAUUUGAAGCUAGAUGGUUAAAGGAAGAGACUUUCACUGAAAUUGUUAAGGCUUCUUGGGAAAGAGCAAAGUUAGCAGGUAUUGGCCCUUCACUGGCUGAUCGAACAAGAGCCGUGCAUGCCGAUUUGCACACUUGGGAUCGUGUAACUCUCAAGGGCCAGAAGCGGAUAAUUAUAAAUUAA
This 633-nucleotide ribosomal RNA is filed under the name Triticum aestivum (bread wheat). Its description in RNAcentral is "partial small subunit ribosomal RNA". The record is from RNAcentral. Lineage: Eukaryota; Viridiplantae; Streptophyta; Magnoliopsida; Poales; Poaceae.